UGGCCUCAUAAUGACCAUUGCAUAUCUGGGUAAAAUAUUUGCGUGACCUUGCUUGUGACGUCACAUGAAUAUCCACAAUCAUCCAAGAUGGCGGACAGCUCACUGAUUUUUAUGAUGAGGGGCAAGGGUAUUUCGUGACUCGUGAUUAGCAAUUAUUCGUGCUUCGUGAUUCGUGAUUUAAAGAAACACCAUUCCGUGAAUCGUGAUUAAUAUGGGUGCCGUGAAUCGUGAAGAGCUAAAGGCGAGCUAGGGUCUUGAAUUUACCAAUAUUUUACCCUAACUUGUGAAUGUUUACGUUUAAAACUCGAC
Non-coding RNA from Paramuricea clavata, 309 nucleotides. Lineage: Eukaryota; Metazoa; Cnidaria; Anthozoa; Malacalcyonacea; Plexauridae. The record is from the annotation of a GenBank genome assembly.